GAUUCCAUGCUGGAAUCGAACCAGCGACUUCCUCUUUACAAGACAGACGCCCUGCCAUUAAACAGAUGAGGU
Non-coding RNA from Teladorsagia circumcincta, 72 nucleotides. NCBI's taxonomy places the organism in Eukaryota, Metazoa, Nematoda, Chromadorea, Rhabditida, Trichostrongylidae. The record is from the annotation of a GenBank genome assembly.